RNAcentral lists this ribosomal RNA (253 nucleotides) under uncultured bacterium. RNAcentral's name for it is "partial 16S ribosomal RNA". It matches the Rfam family "Bacterial small subunit ribosomal RNA", at positions 524 to 776 of the family's 1533-position model. The record is from RNAcentral.
UACGGAGGGGGCGAGCGUUAUUCGGAAUUAUUGGGCGUAAAGGGCGCGUAGGCGGCUUGACAAGUCAAAGGUGAAAUCCCUCGGCUCAACUGAGGAACUGCCUUUGAAACUGUCUGGCUUGAGGCCGGGAGGGGGUAGCGGAAUUCCCAGUGUAGCGGUGAGAUGCGUAGAUAUUGGGAGGAACACCAGUGGCGAAGGCGGCUACCUGGACCGGUACUGACGCUGAUGCGCGAAAGCGUGGGUAGCAAACAGG